GACGAACGCUGGCGGCGUGCCUAAUACAUGCAAGUCGAACGCAGUUGCGAACGGGUGAGUAACGCGUAGGUCACUGCCUGGUAGCGGGGGAUAACUAUUGGAAACGAUAGCUAAUACCGCCUACUACCAGAUGGACCUGCGUUGUAUUAGCUAGUUGGGGGGGUAACGGCUCACCAAGGCAACGAUACAGAGCCGACCUGCGAGGGUGAUCGGGCACACGGGGACUGAGGCACGGCCCAGACGCCUACGGGAGGCAGCAGGAGGGAAUCAUCGGCAAUGGACGGAAGUCUGACCGAGCAAAGCCGGGGGAGGGAAGAAGGUUUUCGGAUCGUAAAGCUCUGUUGUAAGAGAAGCGGUAUCUUACCAGAAAGGGACGGCUAACUACGUGCCAGCAGCCGCGGUAAUAC
Molecule: ribosomal RNA, 407 nt
Filed under: uncultured bacterium
Lineage: Bacteria
Description: partial 16S ribosomal RNA
Rfam family: Bacterial small subunit ribosomal RNA
Source: RNAcentral